RNAcentral lists this long non-coding RNA (935 nucleotides) under Felis catus (domestic cat). Its description in RNAcentral is "lncRNA (ENSFCAG00000051856.1)". The record is from RNAcentral. Lineage: Eukaryota; Metazoa; Chordata; Mammalia; Carnivora; Felidae.
AAGAACCAGCCUCCCUAUCUUUUACAGGGAGCCUCAAAAUAACAUGCGCCCAGUAAGAGAGAAAGUCACAUAAACACCGUUCACACACAAACACUCAGAUUCACUUACGAGCCGGGGCAAGGAAGCACAUAGAGGCUUUUCUGAAAUGCCUUCUCUCUGCCGCACCAACGCAAGGACACGCCUAGAACCCCCGGGGCACCUACGUCGACAGAGGCCUGGAUACUGUGGCGACACACGUGUGCAAACAGACAUGGUCAGACCCAGGCACACGCCCCGCUGUGGACCCGUCCACUUCCCCGGGGGACCCAGGUUUUAGCCUGAACAACGCAAGCCACAGAGGAUGUGCAGCAUGGCCAGUCCGCUGGUGAGUGUGGACGAGAACGGUCUCAAACGGUCCCCUAGAACGACUCGUGGUUUGGAAACAGAAGAAGUUACAUGUCAGUCACGGUGGCAAGAAAGCAGAGCUGGGAGAAGGUUCACAACCAACACAGCGGACCUCCGACUUGGUCAGUGCCCAAUGUGGCCCCCACGCCGCAUCCCUGCCUUCCUAGCUUGGAGGUAGAACAGAGCAGUCACUGCCCUCGAUGGCCAUUGUGCGUCUUGUCGAUCUCCCCCUUCUAAGGUAGAUUUGGGAAUUGAGCCGAAAGGUCAUCACUGAAUCGGCAUAAGCAAGAGUACGGUUAAGAACGCCCAUCUGCCUCAGUGGCUCUGAAGGACCACGUGUGAGUAUGAGUUGAAGAUGAAAGGGACGCUCACUACAUGAACAAAAUCCAGAGGAAGCUAAUCGGUACGGAGAAAUGGCCACCAUGGGGGACCGAGGGGCUUCUGUUUCAACAGCUCCUUUUCUGUGAGGCCUGAUCUACUUUGGUUCCCACCACGAUUCCCAUGAACCCACCAAGCAACCGUCCAAUAAAAUACAAGUCCCCAUGCUGUCA